Long non-coding RNA from Equus quagga, 1776 nucleotides. RefSeq lists it as uncharacterized. The transcript is spliced from 3 exons. NCBI's taxonomy places the organism in Eukaryota, Metazoa, Chordata, Mammalia, Perissodactyla, Equidae. The record is from RefSeq and is a predicted model, not a curated record.
CUGAAAAAGGAUUUUAAAUAAAGGCAGCUUCAAUCUCAAAAGUUUUUUCUCUUUCUCCUUUUUCUUCACACUUAAGAGCAUGAUAAGCAACCCCCAAAUGAGGACUUCUAAAGACCUAGAAACAGUCUGAAACUUGAAAUCACUCUGAGAAUCUCCACCACUGUUUCUCUGGGGUUGUCUACCUGAUGGCACCAGAACCAGAUGAGAGGAAUGCAGAAUAUGAUUUGGCCAAGAUUUUGAGUUGCGUCCUGAAUGGCAUUCAUCAACGUGCAUGACAAAAAUUGAAUCAACGUCGCAAAGUCACGGAUCAUCUCCGUGUGUCACAGGAGCCGAGGAAGACAGAAGAGGAUCCAGAACAUAUCACGUGUCCGUGGUGUCUGCUCGACGUGUUAUAGACUUCAUCACGUCUAUUCCCCAAAUAACCCUUUUGUAGAUAAGAAAAGAGUCUCAGAGAAGUCAGCUAACUUGCCCAAGGUCACAGGUUAAUAGGUAACAAAGCUGGAGAUUCAACCUUGGGUCCAAGUGCAUUUUCUUUCCCUGCACAGCCUUCUCCUGGAAUUGGAUGGAAGAAUAAUGGGGGCCCUGUGCACCUAUUGACCACUGUGGUAUACUUUUGUAAGAGUAGAGCACAUGCUUGAUAUUCAGAAGAAUUACACUUGGAGAGGAGAGAGUGACGCCCAGCGACACUGUGUCCCAGUUAUUUAUGACAGUCCCAAUUUCUGCCGCACCUCGUGAAUAUUCCCCUGUGUAACUGAACCUGAGCUCUGGUUUUUGCUUUAGAAAGUCUUGUCAGCAUCGGUAGAGGUUAUCCUGAAUAACAGACUUAAGGAUAAUGACUCUUUUUUCUAGCUCAGGACAUUAAAUGAAGUUCAGAGGAGAGCCUCCCUGUGUGAAAACACAAGGAUUCCAUUCCAUGGUGCUCUGGAGGAAGGACAGACAUAUCCAGAAAUGACCAAGCUGCAGUCAGCUCUUCCCACAAGGAAGGGCUCCUGUUUGGGAGCUUAAAAUGGAAGCAGAGACAAUGUUGAGAUGUAAGAGAAGGAGAACUGUUCCUUAAAGCAGAAGGGCUUUCUCUAGGGCUUUCUCCCAUUGCAGCUCAGCAAGUCUAAGAACAUUGGUAUCUAGAUAAACUGGGGAGAGACAUCUAAAAGGAGGGGUGACCCCAACUCUGGGAAGUAGGUUGCUAUGACAACAGUGGACCAGUGAGCCUUCAGGGCAUUCCGCUUCUGGAGGUGGUUGCCGUGCACCAGCCGCAUGGCGGGCACUCUGCUUGGGGCUGGGACGCAGUAAUGCUAAAAUUCAGUCCUUCCUUUCAAGGAGUUAACUCUCUGGAGGGGGAGACAGAGAGGUACACAGUGAGGUACAAAAGUUGUCCCGGGGGAUUUUUCAUAAUUCUGCAGUGUCAGGGCAAGUCAGGAAAGGCUUACUAGAUAAGAUGCCAGACACUAUCUUAAGUAUUUUAUGUAGGUUUCCAGUGAUGAAUAGGCAUUUCCCAGAGAGCUUCCUUCUUAAUAAAAAGCUACUUCAUGAAGAUUGGCCUUUGGGAAGAGAAUUCACCAGUAGAGAUCACAGCAGGGCCAUUACUGCCCCCUAAGUUAGACCUUUGCAUUUCGGGGGCAUCAAGGAUGGAGAUCCCAUCCAGCUCAGAGUGUGGGCAUCUUGAGGGUAGCUCUGUAUCUUGUUCUUUCUUGUGUUCCCACUGUUGAACACAAUGUUCAAUAAAUGUUUGAUGGAUUGGUGAAUGAAUGAUUGAACAGAUCAUCAAAUUAAAAAAUG